RNAcentral lists this long non-coding RNA (1611 nucleotides) under Mytilus galloprovincialis (Mediterranean mussel). Lineage: Eukaryota; Metazoa; Mollusca; Bivalvia; Mytilida; Mytilidae. The record is from RNAcentral.
CUCGUGUCAGAUUUGCUCUAAAUGCUUUGGUUUUUGAGUUAUAAGCCAACCAGUUGCUUCGCAGGGCGCAGCAUUAUACGACCGCAGAGGUUGAACCCUGAACGGUUGGGGCAAGUAUGGACACAACAUUCAAGCUGGAUUCAGCUCUAAAUUUGGAUUGUGAUUAAAUAGUUGACACAGCAUAGGUUUCUGACACAGAAUGAAUGUGGUCUAAUGAACUUAAACAAAAAAUUUUGCCUUUGAGCUAUUCACUAUGCUGUUGAAUAUUAAUCCUCUCAAAAAAAUGUUUGAAGAAAUUUUCUUUUUAUUUAUGAAAUCUGAAAUGAAAAAAAUUGAACCCCCCAAUUUUUUUUUCACAUCCCCCUUUCCCUUAUUUCAAAACUGAUCUCAAUUCAAAUUUCUAAUGAAGUUUGCAACAAUAACUACUCAUUUAAAUACAUCAUAAAAUAUUAAAAUGUAAAAAAAGUGCUUGUUAUUACUGAAUGGUAAAGAUUGUUUUAAUCUAUCAGUUGGUAGUAAAAGUGAAUAUACAUUGUAUAUUGUAUAAAACAAUGAUUUAAGUUGAUUCAACUACUAUUCUGGACAAAGAAAGAUAACUCCAAUUGAAAAUUGCUUGCUAUUGCACAAUAUUGUGCAAUUAGAUAUUUCUUGCUAUUGUGCAAUACUGUGCAAUUGAAAAUAUUUGCUAUUGCACAAUACUGUGCAAUUGAAGAUUUCUUGCUAUUGCACAAUACUGUGCAAUUGAAGAUUUCUUGCUAUUGCUGAAUACUGUGCAAUUGAAAAUUUCUUGCUAUUGCACAAUACUUAAUAUAAUAAUUUUGGAUCCUGAUUUGGACCAACUUGAAAACUGGGCCCAUAAUCAAAAAUCUAAGUACAUGUUUAGAUUCAGCAUAUCAAAGAGGCCCAAGAAUUCAAUUUUUGUUAAAAUCAAACAGUUUAAUUUUGGACCCUUUGGACUUUAAUGUAGACCAAUUUUAAAACGGGACCAACAAUUAAGAAUCUACAUACACAGUUAGAUUUGGCAUAUCAAAGAACCCCAAUUAUUCAAUUUUUGAUGAAAUCAAACAAAGUUUAAUUUUGGACCCCGAUUUGGACCAACUUGAAAACUGGGCCAAUAAUCAAAAAUCUAAGUACAUUUUUAGAUUCAGCAUAUCAAAGAACCCCAAGGAUUCAAUUUUUUGUUAAAAUCAAACUAAGUUUAAUUUUGGACCCUUUGGACCUUAAUGUAGACCAAUUUGAAAACGGGACCAAAAAUUUAGAAUCUACAUACACAGUUAGAUUCGGCAUAUCAACAAAGAACCCCAAUUAUUCAAUUUUUGAUGAAAUCAAACAAAGUUUAAUUUUGGACCCUUUGGGCCCUUUAUUCCUAAACUGUUGGGACCAAAACUCCCAAAAUCAAUACCAACCUUCCUUUUAUGGUCAUAAACCUUGUGUUUAAAUUUCAUACAUUUCUAUUUACUUAUACUAAAGUUAUGGUGCGAAAACCAAGAAAAAUGCUUAUUUGGGUCCCUUUUUGGCCCCUAAUUCCUAAACUGUUGGGACCUCAACUCCCAAAAUCAAUACCAACCUUCCUUUUGUGGUCAUAAACAUUGUGUUUAAAUUUCAUUGAUU